AUCAUCAAAAAUAAAAGUCAGGUGCAGAACCAAAUCUUGUUCUUACAAUUGUCACAAAAAUACGUCUUCUAUUUGAACCAUUAUCGAACCUUCUGAUAACCACAAUGAAUCAUAAUUUGGAGGCCUCCAUAUGAAUCCAUUGAAGCAUUUGAUCACGAUAGUCAAACUCUUAUUCAUUUUUAAAAUGACUACCAACAUUUACCGCCUUCA
This 210-nucleotide long non-coding RNA is filed under the name Lathyrus oleraceus (garden pea). RNAcentral's name for it is "Pisum sativum (pea) long non-coding RNA (PSAT_LNC007578)". Lineage: Eukaryota; Viridiplantae; Streptophyta; Magnoliopsida; Fabales; Fabaceae. The record is from RNAcentral.